AGUCACCCCGUGAGACUUGGAAAACGGAAACAGGCUGACUCCAGAGCCACAAGGCCUCCAAGGAUCACCUUGCUGCAAGCGAUCUUGAUGUUGGGGUUCUUGUUCGCCGAGUCGAAGAAUGAACUUUGCAAACACUCAAGACGUGGAGCCAUGAAGGUGAGACCCUAGAGCUGCCACAGUGGGAGAGUGGUCCAAGAAUGGAGCUCAAACCUGUGAAGUCAGAGCCAGUGAUGGAGAGAGCAUGGUCCUGGAUCCAGCCAUGCCUGCAACCCACAUUAUCCACAUUAUAGUUUUCUGCUAAUGAAUCCAAUGCAUUAAAAAACUUUUUUUUU
This is a long non-coding RNA of Manis pentadactyla (Chinese pangolin), 332 nucleotides long. RefSeq lists it as uncharacterized. NCBI's taxonomy places the organism in Eukaryota, Metazoa, Chordata, Mammalia, Pholidota, Manidae. The record is from RefSeq and is a predicted model, not a curated record. The transcript is spliced from 3 exons.